CCUUCCUCAAACUUACAGGUAUGAUUCUUUCAGUUACUCCAAGAAUUUCGAUGAUGGAAUCAAGAUUUCUCAAUGAAGCUAAUAAGCUUCAAACUCAAGAUCAUCAAGAACCUUUCCACAUCCAAUAAGAUUCAAGAAAGGAUAUUUUAUAUCUCUAUAUAUAGGAUUCUUGUCUUUGUAUGUCAUUUUCUUUCUAUUCUUUUUCCCC
RNAcentral lists this unclassified non-coding RNA (208 nucleotides) under Hevea brasiliensis (rubber tree). The record is from RNAcentral. Lineage: Eukaryota; Viridiplantae; Streptophyta; Magnoliopsida; Malpighiales; Euphorbiaceae.